AGUUGUUCUAGCUAGAGUAGGUUGGUUCAUCCAAAUCUACGACGCUCUUUAUGUUUUUGUAGAUUUCAUGUUCGUAAUUAUAUCAAAAUCUUGAUUAUUUUCCUUUGUUUUCUUUCGGUCUAAGACAGCUACUGAUUUUUCAGCUCAACUAGCUUUUUAAUGAAGUCUUGGGUGUUUUAUUGCCGUGUAAUCAGGCGUCAAAAGUCUAUUGUCUAUGAACUUUUGAUGCAAAUACGAUGCAUUCGUCAUGUUAAAAGAGUUCCAUAAAGAGUUUGUUUGUAAAUCUCAGGAUUGCAAUGAUGCUAAAGAAAGUCUUUUUCCCUUUGUGAUGAGUAUUUUUUUAAAAAAAAAAUUGUGAGCAAAAGUUUUAUGGAUUUCACAGGUAUAAAGAAAUAAUUCGCCAACCAGUUUGAUGCUUAACUGAGAAUAAUAAUUCACGAAAUGCCAUCUCAUUAUAGAAUUGCUGUGGUUCAAUUUUGAUGCUUAGGUGAUCACUAGUGAUUAAGAGUUAAAACUGGUUUCUUGUUAAUAAUGAUAAAGAUGACAUGUAGGUAAGUCAUGGCAUAGACUUAUUUGAAGUGCCUUUUGUUUUUUUUUAUAUAUUUUUGUGAAAAAUAUGUGGGUUAGAUCUAAUGCAAUUGAUUUGCAGAUGUAUGUGAGUUAGAUCUUAUUAUACAAUUGAUUUUGGGGAUUUACUGAUGCUUCAGAAAAAGAAAAUGCACAUUGAACUACUCAUGUUAAGGGAUUUGAAGAUUCAGUGGUUAUCAACUUGGUCCAGGUGUUACUACUUACUAUUUUCAUUACAAAACAUGCAUAGAGUUGGACUAUCUUUGCAAGGAACAUUCAAUCUGACAUCAACCCACUGGUUCAUUGAUUUACUUUUGGAAUCGAUGCGUAAAAUAUUGUGAUGGUACAGUUGAUUAUUGUGAUUAGUGAAAGAUGAGGGUAGAAUUUAUGUAAGUCUUCAAACCAGGAUUUUAUAAUGGCAUAAGCCUUUAAUUAUAUCCAUAGUCAGGGGAAAGUUUCAGAUAUGCUUCUUCAAGGCAAAGGUUUCAAGUGCUAAAACGUGACUAUGUGAGGCAUUAGGUUCAACCAGAAUCUGCAGUGAGGGUAAUAAUUACCAUGUUUAAAAGAAAAGUUUAUCAUAUUGAUAUGGGUUCAGUAAUCUGAAUGUAAAUGGUCUUAAGAAACCUAUGGGUAAACUAAGCAGCUUAUUAUGCUGGAUAGGUCAUUGACAAAUUAUCUAAAGGAAUGAGGAAUGUACAACAGGAAAUGAUGUUAUCAAUCUUGGAGAAGGCAUGCAAUAUGAUCAUUGGAGGUAGUUUGGUGGGUGUUAGAGAUGAUUGACUCAUGUUAGUUAUGAUACAACUGUUGAGGAUUUGGUUACAUGCCCACAGCAAGAGUUAGUGGUUCGUUUACCUCUGUAUACUUGUUAAAGACAAAUAUAUUGUUAAUGAUAAGGAUGAAACUUCUUAUCAUUUGCUAUCCACAGAUGAUGUAUUACUAAUGACAUUACAGAUUAUUGGUGAAUGAAGGUCAAAAAAUAGUUGAAGUAGCAGAAAGCAUAUUGGAUGCAAUGUGCAACUUUUUGUGAAAAUGGUUUUAUAAUAGUAAAGAAAUAGUGCAAAAUGAGGAUGUUUCUGAUGGAAUACUUCUGUGAAGACGAAGAAGAAGAGCAAUCUUAUGGAGAAUUCUUGUGGGUAUGCAUUAAUAGGAGAGCAAUUUUGUGUAAAUUCUUACUUCUCCAACAUAAUCUGUGAGUUGUGUUUCUAGGAAAGAAAUCUAAUCCAGUUUAUCAUUACCCAUCAUUAUAUUUGAAACAAAUAUGUGGCCUAGGCCUAAGUAACUGAUCCCAUACAAUACUGUCUAUUAGAUGCCGAACUAAAUGUCAUAUCUCUCUCUCCCUUUCCUUUUUCUUAAUAUCUAAAAGCAUAAGAAUCCUUCUUUAAGGGAAAAAGCUGAAAUACCUUCAAAGCUCCUUUCCUUUUUCCGUUUUAAAUUAGUAAAUGCCUAAAAACUAAAUGAGUAUGCAGAUAUACAGUGGAUUAGCUAUCCUAUAUGAAUAGCCUGCAUAUAAUUCUAUAUGAGUACCCAGAAUAUGUUGUUAAGUUUUUCCUACAAGUCAUCUCGUGAAAUGUGACCCUAAGUUGACCUUCUCCCACAAUUGUUGGGGUAAAUGCAGACCAUGGUCAGAGGUGAUUGACAUGGAGAAAAUGGAUGACUAUAGAUGUGUGGUGCGCAUAUAGGACUCUUUGCAGGUUAAGCAACUUGGAUAGCACCUUCAUGCGCUUUUAUUUUAGUUGUUGUUGUUUUUUUUUUGGAAUGCCAUAUGAUAAUGCCUUCCAUAAUAUAUGUGCAUAUGUAUUCUUGUUCAGGUGAGUGUGGCAGAGGAUAGAGAAAUGGAUGAACCAUUGAUAUGGUAAAUGAUGUAUGGUAGAGACUACACAACCUGGAAAAUAAAAGGAAGUUUGAAGGGUAAUGAGGCAAGAGCGGCAGAAAAUUGAGAAUAUGAUGUUUGGUGUGACAAAAGGAACAAAAAAAGGAGUUGACAUUUUUAUCUCCCUGAAAUCUAACUAGCGGAUUGAAAUUCUUACUGGGCUGGAAAAGCUCAUAUCUUUUCUUGCUUUUUUUUUUAGAGUUUUAGGUUGCAUAAUACUUGGCUACUAUGUGCAUAUNNNNNNNNNNNNNNNNNNNNUUUUCUUUGCUUUUUUUUUUAGAGUUUUAGGUUGCAUAAUACUUGGCUACUAUGUGCAUAUGUAUUCUUGUUCAUGUGAGUGUGGCAGAGGAUAGAGAAAUGGAUGAACCAUUGAUACGGUAAAUGAUGUAUGGUAGAGACUCCACAACCUGAAAAAUAAAAGGAAGUUUGAAGGGUAAUGAGGCAAGAGCGGCAGAAAAUUGAGAAUAUGAUGUUUGGUGCGACAAAAGGAAUAAAAAAAGGAGUUGACAUUUUUAUCUCCCUGAAAUCUAACUACUUGCAGCUGGUAUUGACAUAAUUGCCAUCACCACAAUCACCACUAUUGUCUUGCCAUUAUUGUUGACAUUAAUAUGACACUACUGUAACUGGUACUACAAUGAUUGCCAGAAUUACAAUCACUGAUGUUACUCGCUACUGUUGUUGCACAUUGCCGCCUGGAAUGCCCACAUCUCAUAGAUGUGAGUCCUUCCAAAGAAAAAUGUUAAUGUUGACAAUUGUUGUCCAUAACACACUCAAGGAUUUGUACGAUAGUUUAUCAAAUAUCAAGUUCACCUAAACCAGGGGCUUGACAUAGAAAUGAAAAGAAAUAUAUGACAAUGAAGAAGAUCGACAACACUUGUAGUGUAGUUAAUAUGAUAAUAAGAGAAUGAUGUUGACAAAAGAGAUUCUAAUGGCGUGAUGAUUUUGCAAAAGAGGCACACCUUAUAGAAUUUGAAGCUUUGUAUAAUUAACAAUGUGAAAAAUUCUAAGCAAGUUAUUCUUGAAUAUGUAAUUUCAAGGUAAUGCCUAUAUGUCAGUACUCAGUAGAAUAGCUAAGCUGCCAUUAGAAAGCUUAAAUUGCGACCUUAAAAAUCUUUAUAAUUUUGGCCUUAAAAUGGAUAUAGGUGGACUUUGAAUUUUGGAUAAAAUUGUGACCUAAGUUGUGAGAAGGUUGUUAUAGUGGUUGUGGGUUCCAAAAAGGGAUGGAUGUGGAUUUCUUAUUUGUUAGUAAGCAAUCAAUCAUAGCCUUCCAAACUCAUGUGGGCUGUUUUAGUUAGAAUAAUUUCCAUACUGCUUUUAUUAAAAGAUGAGUCAGUUCAAUUUUAACCGCUAAUCUCAUGAAUGCCAGGAAUCUCACCACUUUUUUUGUUAGAGACUUUUGCUAGUCAGAGUCAGAUUUUAAAACAGAAAUAAUUUAAUAUAUAAGUUUUUGUUGAGCAGAAGUCAAAUAUAAUUAGAAACCCAAAUGGAAGAAAGAAAAGGAGGAUGAAGGAAAUGAGGAACUUGCAGGAAAAUUUGAGCAGUGAAUGCAAAGAAGAAAAAGGAAAGAGAAGGAAGGAGACCAAAGUUCUUUUUUGUUUUUUCCAUUAAAGUUCUUGUGUUGUUUUAUGAGAAAAAAUAAGGUUCUUUGUUCCCUAUGGCUUUGUUUUUUUGGUUAAACCUUUGGUUAUGCCUUGACAUGCAUUUUUCUUCUUUUUUGAUGGAAUAUGCCUUUCACAUCUAAAUAUAGUAUGUUAUAAUAAUAAACUUCCUCCACUGUCUCCAAAUACAAUUUAUUUUAAGUUGAAAUAAGAUUAUUUAUUUGCAAUUAGUAUGCAGGUUUUAACUCUUAUGUAAUUAAGUUUCGUGAUAUGAAUUUGAGAAUUAAUUUGGACACUUGCAUAUUUGAUUAUACCAUGAGAUUUUGUUCUAGCUUCACACUUUGGGUUAUAAUUUGUGUGCCAAAAAUAGACAAUGACCUUUACAAUAAAACCUUUUCUCUUACCCUUGUCUUAACUCUUUCCAUUUUCCAGAAUUUCUGAGAAUUGUUACUAGUAAGAAUGGUUUCCCUACCUGUUUUUCGGAUUUGGCUUGCCCUACUCUUUCUGGAAGUUGCCUGCACCAGAAUUCACCAAUAUCUAAUAGGUUUGGUGUUAGGUUCAUGACUGAUCAUAGAAGUUGCUUUAUCCUUAAAUGGAUCCUUCUUGGAUUAGAGUUGCACCUUGAAUCCAACUACUUUUUGUUGGGAGAAGGCUAAUGGUCAAGAUGUUGACAAACUUAAUGUUAAUCUAGAAAUUGAAAUACUCCUUCAUGCAAUAGGCUCUUUUGCUUUUCUCUGUUAGAGAUUGAGAUGACAUACCAACAUGCAUCCUAAUCUGACUCCUUUUUCAUGUCCAUGAAAGCUUAUGGUAUUCCACUCAUACCAAUGUCACCACCAUAACCACCACUACUAGUCAGCAUUGUUUUUAUCAAUACCGUCAUUGAAUUUUCUUAAGAAAACAUGUUAUGUUCAACCAAGAGGCAAUAAUCAAUCUUUGGUAAACCUCAUUUUUUAUUCUCUGAACAAUUUGUCUAAGACAACAAACAUAGAAUAUUUUCUGAUUCCUUUUUUUCAUUGUUUUAUUUUUGAUCUCCUGAUUUCAUGUCUUUCUUCGAUUUAUACUUCCAAAUAUGACCUCUAACAACAUGG
RNAcentral lists this long non-coding RNA (5123 nucleotides) under Phoenix dactylifera (date palm). Its description in RNAcentral is "long non-coding RNA (PDAC_LNC001541)". Lineage: Eukaryota; Viridiplantae; Streptophyta; Magnoliopsida; Arecales; Arecaceae. The record is from RNAcentral.